RNAcentral lists this transfer RNA (82 nucleotides) under Candidatus Nanopelagicales bacterium. RNAcentral's name for it is "tRNA-Leu". It matches the Rfam family "tRNA". From Rfam's summary of the family: Transfer RNA (tRNA) molecules are approximately 80 nucleotides in length. Their secondary structure includes four short double-helical elements and three loops (D, anti-codon, and T loops). Lineage: Bacteria; Bacillati; Actinomycetota; Actinomycetes; Candidatus Nanopelagicales. The record is from RNAcentral. RNAcentral also lists the same sequence under 1 other name.
GCCCAGGUGGUGGAACAGGCAGACACGCUCGGCUUAAACCCGAGUGACUUCGGUCGUACGGGUUCAAGUCCCGUCCUGGGCA